Non-coding RNA from Linepithema humile (Argentine ant), 277 nucleotides. The record is from RefSeq and is a predicted model, not a curated record. NCBI's taxonomy places the organism in Eukaryota, Metazoa, Arthropoda, Insecta, Hymenoptera, Formicidae.
AUCUCAUGUUACUCUGGUCAAAAAUUAAUGGAUGAAAGUCAGAAUAUAUUUUACCGAGCAUAUGCAGCAGAAUGGUACUAUUUUUCGCCUAGAAUAAAAUCUCUAAUGAUGAUAAUUCUUUACAGAAGUAAUGUGCCAUGCAAAAUAAAAGCAGGUAAUAUGGUUCCGUUGUCGAUAGCUACCUAUGCUGCAGCAGUACGAAUGGGCAUAUCUUAUUUCACAGCGUUUUUAUCACUCAAAGAGUGAUUACCGAAUUUUCAAAUUCUAGAUCUAGUUC